This 374-nucleotide ribosomal RNA is filed under the name uncultured Bryobacter sp. Its description in RNAcentral is "bacterial SSU rRNA". It matches the Rfam family "Bacterial small subunit ribosomal RNA", at positions 524 to 898 of the family's 1533-position model. The record is from RNAcentral. Lineage: Bacteria; Pseudomonadati; Acidobacteriota; Terriglobia; Bryobacterales; Bryobacteraceae.
UACGUAGGCAGCAAACGUUGUUCGGAGUUACUGGGCGUAAAGAGUGCGUAGGCGGUUCGCCAAGUUUGGUGUGAAAUCUCCCGGCUUAACUGGGAGGGUGCGCCGAAAACUGGCGGGCUUGAGUGUGGGAGAGGGAAGCGGAAUUCCUGGUGUAGCGGUGAAAUGCGUAGAUAUCAGGAGGAACACCGGUGGUGUAGACGGCUUCCUGGACCACAACUGACGCUGAGGCACGAAAGCGUGGGUAGCAAACAGGAUUAGAUACCCUGGUAGUCCACGCCCUAAACGAUGCAAACUUGGUGUAGGCAGUUCAGUCUGUCUGUGCCGGAGCUAACGCGUUAAGUUUGCCGCCUGGGGAGUACGGUCGCAAGGCUGAA